UCGGGUGGAGGAGAACAAUGGGUCUCUCAUGCUUGGGUGGCACACCCGGCCGCUCAUAGCCACCUCGGCUUGGCAGCUGGCGAGCGCAACCGAGUGAGUGUGCGAGUCAACUCAGUGUUCAGUAAGAUAGAGAACCGACUCUAAAAGAACCUUUGGGGGUGGUGAUUGAUUGAUUGAACCACUGGGCACCCAAUGGGGUGCGACACUGUGACCAUGUGAGUUGUGACUUGUCAGUAGAGAGAGAGUCGGGACUACAGUCAAAUGUGAAACUGUAAAACCAAUCCAAUCCAAUCAAGUGGUGUAAUACUGUGUGGUUGUAAUUGUAAUGGUCGUUUUUCAUGG
Molecule: long non-coding RNA, 342 nt
Filed under: Malus domestica (apple)
Lineage: Eukaryota; Viridiplantae; Streptophyta; Magnoliopsida; Rosales; Rosaceae
Description: long non-coding RNA (MDOM_LNC017801)
Source: RNAcentral